UACGGAGGGUGCAAGCGUUGUUCGGAAUCACUGGGCGUAAAGGGCGUGUAGGCGGUCCGCUAAGUCUGUUGUGAAAGCCCGGGGCUCACCCCCGGAAGGGCAUUGGAAACUGGCGGACUCGAGUCCCGGAGAGGAAGGUGGAAUUCCUGGUGUAGCGGUGAAAUGCGUAGAUAUCAGGAGGAAUACCGGUGGCGAAGGCGGCCUUCUGGACGGCGACUGACGCUGAGACGCGAAAGCGUGGGGAGCAAACAGG
Molecule: ribosomal RNA, 253 nt
Filed under: uncultured bacterium
Lineage: Bacteria
Description: partial 16S ribosomal RNA
Rfam family: Bacterial small subunit ribosomal RNA
Source: RNAcentral